GAGGAAUAUUGGUCAAUGGGCGAGAGCCUGAACCAGCCAAGUAGCGUGCAGGAAGACGGCCCUAUGGGUUGUAAACUGCUUUUAUGUGGGGAUAAAGUGAGCUACGUGUAGUUUAUUGCAGGUACCACAUGAAUAAGGACCGGCUAAUUCCGUGCCAGCAGCCGCGGUAAUACGGAAGGUCCAGGCGCUAUCCGGAUUUAUUGGGUUUAAAGGGAGCGUAGGCCGUGGAUUAAGCGUGUUGUGAAAUGUAGACGCUCAACGUCUGAAUUGCAGCGCGAACUGGUUCACUUGAGUAUGCACAACGUAGGCGGAAUUCGUCGUGUAGCGGUGAAAUGCUUAGAUAUGACGAAGAACUCCGAUUGCGAAGGCAGCUUACGGGAGCACAACUGACGCUGAAGCUCGGAGGUGCGGGUAUCAAACAGGAUUAGAUACCCUGGUAGUCCGCACAGUAAACGAUGGAUGCCCGUUGUUAGUUCACUUAAGAAUUAGCGACCAAGCGAAAGCAUUAAGCAUCCCACCUGGGGAGUACGCCGGCAACGGUG
This 542-nucleotide ribosomal RNA is filed under the name uncultured bacterium. RNAcentral's name for it is "bacterial SSU rRNA". It matches the Rfam family "Bacterial small subunit ribosomal RNA", at positions 356 to 896 of the family's 1533-position model. The record is from RNAcentral.